GUCGAAAGCCAUGGAGGAAAGGCAUGGCUCCUACAGUCCUCACGCAGAAGUUUCCUGUACAAACACACGUAAUAUAUACGCGCAUCUGGAGUCAACGUUAGCUGGCUAGCUAAUUUCUGUUUUAAGCAAACAAGCCCCUGCCAUGCCUGAGUUUGGUGACAGAUGGCUCGCUUUGAGAGCCGCCCAGGAGCGCUCUCUUACAAAAGAUGUCAUUUCUUUACACAACUGUGCGUUUGAUUCUCAGCACGAACAUACUGUAUGGUAAUGACAUUGCAUUUAACACGACAUAUGCAGUUGCAUACAUACUGCUGAGCAAGACACUUUAGUUUGAGAACAGCAGCAAAAUGAAUGAAUUAUUUUCUGUUUGACUUUUAAAUAUGGAACAUUUGAUGGGUCUGAGCCUGAAGAUAAAGUAAAGUGCAUUUUGAAGUGAUUUAAAAAGCUGCUGCAUUGAUUUUAUAGUUUCGGAGAUAGUGACAAAAAAGUUAGUUAAUUGGAGCUAGAUCUGCGUAAAAUUAUGUUUACAAUUUUUAUUUCAAAUUUUCUUCUACAGUAUAAUAUAUAACAAAUUCAGACACAGUCAAGUGUCAGUAUUUGUCAGUUUUAGUUUUUCUUCAGAUAUAAUGCAGUGUUGUGGAAAGGACACACUCAGAAUGCUUAUCUUCAUUUCAUUACUUACGGGCCUGACUGUGGAGGCAGUAACCUGUUCUGAAUGAUUGCUGACCACACGGGGGUUGAUUUAAACUCUGUCUGUAGGUGGCAGCACAGCCGUGCAAACGACAGCCUGCAAUCAAGGGCACACAUCUGUUCCUAUACCGGACAUGGUCGAGUGCAUGGAUUUAAAAAACUGAAACCAUAACCAAGACAUCAUCUAAAUGCAGAUACAAGCUCUAAUGCAAACAAACAAUACCACCACAGACUGUUGUCUGUGCCAGAUUGAGUGCACUUCCUCUGAAGUGGAGAACUGAACAAAGGCGUUUAAUCAGAAUUUGAUUAAUUCUAAUCUGGUUUCUUUCAAAGCAAUAAUUUCCUUGCUACUCGAUCAAUAAAGCAUUGCUCCUUGAAUGAGUUGCGGUCUUCUCGGAAUGAUGAAGUCUCCUUUGUUAUUUUCCACGCACACUCAAUUUACCCUUGGUUAUCCAGCCACACUCUCAUGAAUAAUGUUUUUAUCUCCCCUUUUAC
Betta splendens (Siamese fighting fish) is the source of this 1182-nucleotide long non-coding RNA. RefSeq lists it as uncharacterized. Lineage: Eukaryota; Metazoa; Chordata; Actinopteri; Anabantiformes; Osphronemidae. The record is from RefSeq and is a predicted model, not a curated record. The transcript has 3 exons.